GCGGUCGUAGCUCAGCUGGUAGAGCACAGGUUUGUGGCACCUGGUGUCGCGGGUUCAAUCCCCGUCGAUCGCC
RNAcentral lists this transfer RNA (73 nucleotides) under Spirochaetota bacterium. RNAcentral's name for it is "Spirochaetes bacterium (activated sludge metagenome) tRNA-His". It matches the Rfam family "tRNA". Rfam says of the family: Transfer RNA (tRNA) molecules are approximately 80 nucleotides in length. Their secondary structure includes four short double-helical elements and three loops (D, anti-codon, and T loops). Lineage: Bacteria; Pseudomonadati; Spirochaetota. RNAcentral also lists the same sequence under 1 other name. The record is from RNAcentral.